This 486-nucleotide ribosomal RNA is filed under the name uncultured bacterium. Its description in RNAcentral is "partial 16S ribosomal RNA". It matches the Rfam family "Bacterial small subunit ribosomal RNA", at positions 30 to 507 of the family's 1533-position model. The record is from RNAcentral.
AUUGAACGCUGGCGGCAUGCCUUACACAUGCAAGUCGAACGGCAGCACGGGUGCUUGCCCCUGGUGGCGAGUGGCGAACGGGUGAGUAAUACAUCGGAACAUGUCCUGUAGUGGGGGAUAGCCCGGCGAAAGCCGGAUUAAUACCGCAUACGAUCUACGGAUGAAAGCGGGGGACCUUCGGGCCUCGCGCUAUAGGGUUGGCCGAUGGCUGAUUAGCUAGUUGGUGGGGUAAAGGCCUACCAAGGCGACGAUCAGUAGCUGGUCUGAGAGGACGACCAGCCACACUGGGACUGAGACACGGCCCAGACCCCUACGGGAGGCAGCAGUGGGGAAUUUUGGACAAUGGGCGAAAGCCUGAUCCAGCAAUGCCGCGUGUGUGAAGAAGGCCUUCGGGUUGUAAAGCACUUUUGUCCGGAAAGAAAUCCUUGGCCCUAAUACGGUCGGGGGAUGACGGUACCGGAAGAAUAAGCACCGGCUAACUACGUG